This 251-nucleotide ribosomal RNA is filed under the name uncultured bacterium. Its description in RNAcentral is "partial 16S ribosomal RNA". It matches the Rfam family "Bacterial small subunit ribosomal RNA", at positions 524 to 776 of the family's 1533-position model. The record is from RNAcentral.
UACGUAGGGACCAAGCGUUGUUCGGAUUUACUGGGCGUAAAGGGCGCGUAGGCGGCUUAACAAGUCACUUGUGAAAUCUCCGGGCUUAACUCGGAACGGCCAAGUGAAACUGUCAAGCUAGAGUGCAGAAGGGGCAAUCGGAAUUCUUGGUGUAGGUGAAAUGCGUAGAUAUCGAGAGGAACACCUGCGGCGAAGGCGGGUAGCUGGGCCGACACUGACGCUGAGGCGCGAAAGCCAGGGGAGCGAACGGG